CCUUAUGUAUAACUUCUCCGAAACACCC
This 28-nucleotide small RNA is filed under the name Bombyx mori (domestic silkworm). RNAcentral's name for it is "ovarian small RNA-14086". Lineage: Eukaryota; Metazoa; Arthropoda; Insecta; Lepidoptera; Bombycidae. The record is from RNAcentral.